Molecule: long non-coding RNA, 573 nt
Filed under: Bos taurus (domestic cattle)
Lineage: Eukaryota; Metazoa; Chordata; Mammalia; Artiodactyla; Bovidae
Description: long non-coding RNA NONBTAT009586
Source: RNAcentral
GGACAUUCUGCAUCCUGUGGCCAGGACUCCCUGCCACACCUUCCCCCAUCAGUUGUCAGAAAUGGAAACAUUCCAUAUAACCCAGGACUAAAUAUAGGGUUCUGGGCCUGGUGAGAGCACAUGGUCUACAUAUACAAGACAGAAAAAAGAGACAGACGUCUUGGGACACUGCCAUUUCCUGAGGGCAUAUAUAUCAGGAUGAUAAAACCAGCAGGUGAUAAUUAGUACGGGUAAAAGGUGGGACCCCUCCACUCACCUGUACAGGGUCCAUGCGCAUCUCUGCUACUGCCAUGGGGCCCUGGGGAGAGAAGGAAGCCACGAGAAGUGGACAGCAGUGGUAGGAUCCUACAGCAGAGCUGGACCUCCACCCCUGCCAAGCCCUGGUGUAGUGGGAGCUCAGCCUGAUGGUCUAAGCUCAGUUCCUCAGAAAACAGUACUGUCUCUUACCAGCGGGGAGAAGGACUGAGCCUCAGGAAAAAGAAAAUGCUGCGUAAGAUAUGAAUGCUUCCAACCUCACAGGGCUCAUCUUGGUAUCUAACGUAAGGAAGACACAGCGUGUAUCAGCUAUGACUG